Molecule: long non-coding RNA, 400 nt
Organism: Onychomys torridus (southern grasshopper mouse)
Lineage: Eukaryota; Metazoa; Chordata; Mammalia; Rodentia; Cricetidae
Exons: 3
Source: RefSeq, a predicted model, not a curated record
CUAGAGUACAGCUGAAAACAUCGAAGCAGGUUUUCAAUGGGAACUUUACAGCACCCUGGCUUCCUGUGACACCCCCUGAAGUGCUUUCUCCAGGAGAUUUCACCUUGUGAAGUUUCUCAUGUGAAAUCCUGAACUGACACCAAUCCUUUCCUAAGACCUCUGAAAAAGCACUCAUUAAUGACUGCCUAACUAUGGCUCCAAUUGAAGUUUCUCUUCAAUUUCAGGCGACCCCUGUGAAAGGGUCACUUGACCUGCACAGGUUGGGAACCUGUUCUAUACGAAAGAAAGCUUAACAAGCCACAAAGAACAAACUGGUCAGCACCACCCUUCCAUGGCCUUUGCAUCAGCUCCUGACACCAGCUUCCUGUCCUGUGCAGUUCCUGUCCUGACUACCUUCAAU